Lutzomyia longipalpis is the source of this 505-nucleotide long non-coding RNA. RefSeq lists it as uncharacterized. NCBI's taxonomy places the organism in Eukaryota, Metazoa, Arthropoda, Insecta, Diptera, Psychodidae. The record is from RefSeq and is a predicted model, not a curated record. The transcript has 2 exons.
GGACGGGUGGGAUGGGGCGCGAAAAAUGGGUGAGUGAAGCAAAAGCAAAAAGGCCCCCUGUGAGAACACGAAAGACGAUGGAUGAUUGUGUUUUAUACGCAAAUACAAACAAAAUGGCGAAUUACGAACAAGGUGGAAGAACAAAAAAAAAAAGCAACAGCACUACUCGUCAUGGCACACACCAAAUAUAUACAUAGAUUCUUCUUCAAAUACUGUUCUUGUGUCCCCCUACCUACUUCACAGAAAAUUCAAUAGGAGAUCAGGAUGUAAAAUAACAAUUUACAUUGAUGAUGUGACAAUAAAUAUGUAGGAUCUACUCAACAAUUUCUUAAAGUCCGAAUACUGCAACUAGCCAAUAGAAAAAACGAGUAGGAGUUAACCUUGUCUUCAAGUGCAAUUUGAUAACAGAUGUCCCCACAAUCGCAACAAGAGCAACCAAACAUCAAUAACUUCAUUUCAAUGAAUAAAACGUACAAUAAAAAUUAAUCGAAUUAUCAUGAGUAUA